AGCCGUCCCAACGGCUCUAAAAAGUCCAUUAAGUUGGGAGCGUCCGGCAGAAAUGCCGGGGUUGGA
Molecule: ribozyme, 66 nt
Filed under: Lachnospiraceae bacterium A2
Lineage: Bacteria; Bacillati; Bacillota; Clostridia; Lachnospirales; Lachnospiraceae
Description: Pistol ribozyme
Rfam family: Pistol ribozyme
Source: Rfam by way of RNAcentral